GCGGGAUUAGUUUAGAGGCAAAACUAAAGGUUUCCAACCUUUCGUCACCAGUUCGAUUCUGGUAUCCCGCU
The sequence is a transfer RNA, 71 nucleotides long. It matches the Rfam family "tRNA". Rfam says of the family: Transfer RNA (tRNA) molecules are approximately 80 nucleotides in length. The record is from Rfam.